This is a long non-coding RNA of Gasterosteus aculeatus aculeatus (three-spined stickleback), 1856 nucleotides long. The record is from Ensembl. NCBI's taxonomy places the organism in Eukaryota, Metazoa, Chordata, Actinopteri, Perciformes, Gasterosteidae.
AGCGAAUGGUACAUUCCGGCCCUGCUCCUCGCUGUGUGUGUGUUGUCGCUUCCGAGCGGAUUCAACCGCCAAGUAAGUUACAUAUUUUUUUCGCCAUGUCACGCUAAAGUAGUUUUUAGACCAGUUUAUUUUGAUAGAAACCCGCAUUUGCGAGACACGCGCCGCUGGAUACAGCUCCUGAAAUGAGAGCCCGUCGUGUUUUUCUUUAGGAGAUACGUGGUUUUUUGUUGUUGCGGGAGAGCUAAUGUUGGUCAGUGAAGCCCGGAGCCUCAUGUUUUCCUCGGGCCAGGAGGAGCACUGCGCCCCGUCCAAAGACCCGGUGCAGUACGGCGAGCUGGUGGUGCUCGGACAAACAUCGACUUGUGUGCAGCGUGAUCUUCUAGAUUUAAUCGGGGGAUGAAAAGGAAACACAUCGAGCCCUGUUGAGAUUCACGAGAUUCAAGAUCAGACACGCGUGGAACCGAGAGAAGCGUUCAUGAAACGUCUCCCGGGUCAGGCCCGGUCAAAAAAACCCAAUCUAGCUACCGUUAGAACCCACCGCCCCCCCCUCCUCUUCUAUUAAGAUCCGGUGUAGGGCAACUCAAGUAACCCGGAACACAGCCGCUUUGACCGGGGCGCUCGUUCCGAUCUUAAAAGUCAGGAAUUCGGAAGUGGGUAUGGGCCCCCCCUCCCUUCCCCUCCCCUCCCCUCCCACGGGGCCCCGGGGUUCCUCCUAGUGUCUCAACUGUCUGUAGCUGUGGCUCGCACGCAUCCACGCUUUUCCAGCGCGCAUGCACUUACAAGGCCAUGGUUUGAACCACUUGCACGAUGCCGGAACUGAUCCAAAGACCACCGAGGCGUCCAAAUAGUUUAAUGUCCCACGUCACGUGGUCAGGUAGUAAAGGACAGCAGCACGGAGGGGAGGGGGGGGGGGGGGGUAUGGAUGAUCCUUUAAAAUCACCACAUCCAUGGGAAUCUUUACAUCAUAAUAAAAGGUAAACGUGGAGUACCUGGAAGGAAACAACCUAGUCGUUCUUAUCUGAGGCAGCAAAUGAUACACUAGAACACUUUUAUAAUACAAUAAUAAUAGUUGCUGAUUGAUUUAAUUAUUUGUUUCAAACAUGCUGCGUAAGACAAUGUGUCGCCAGAAAGGGAGCUCUGUAUGAACACUGGUUAGAAAGUUUGUUUUUAUAUAUAUAUAUAUAUAGAGAGAGAGAGAGAGAUUACUUGUCUGCAGGCUUGUGUUUGAAGCACAUGAAAUGAAACCCAUAUAAAGGUUGUACACACAGAUCAUAGUCGUGUGCUUUGGUGCUUUGCCCUCCACACAAACCCUCACGGCCACACUGCUUAUUACAGGCGACAAAAAGCGCUGACUGCUUAUUACCCUCCGGGCUGAGCACAUGGCAUGUUUGCAGCGGAUGCUUUUGUUCCCCCCCCCCACCUCCUCCCCCUCCUCCCCGGCAUAAAGACACGUAUUUGAAUCAGACGUGUCGGGUGUGUAAUCACUGCAAUGACAUCACACCCCACUGAUAAAACUGAUGGUAGACAAGAUGGCUGAUGGCGUGGAGCAACGUUUGUUUUAGCGGCCCUUCCCUCGGCGCUUUGUUGCCGUGAGCCUGGUGGCUUUUAUUACUUGCAUGGAUGCCCCCCCCCCACACACACACACACAUUCCCAUGUCUGCCCGGACAGAUUGGCCUGGUGCUGGUCAGUGAGAAGGGGGUGUAUCCUGGAACUCAAAGGACGGAUUGAUCGGGACUCGGCCUUCGCCUCCUCUCAGCUUCCUCUGUCCAUUGUGACUGGGAGACUGGGCCCUUUGAUGGAACUUUGUACAUUUCUCCCUGAAGAGCCCCCCCUUUGUAAAGGAAGUAUACAAAUC